UUAUAAUAACAUUUUUCGAGGUUUCAUUGCUUAAAAUUGUUGCAUGAUAUAGCCUCAUUUUUAAUAGUUACAAAAAUAUCACGCUCAAUGUAUGUUACUAAACAGUCAUUCAUCCAUUCAUCUCUCAUUUGGUUACGGAGUUCAUUCUUCACGAUAUUUAUGGCUGAAAAUGUCCUUUCAACAGUUGCAGUAGCAACGGGCAAAAGUAGAGCCAAUUUCAGCAACAAAUAGACUUGGGGAUACACAUCAUCCUUUCUUUUCUGAACCAACAUUUGAGCCAAUUCCUCAAUUCCUUCUAUACUCGAAAAAUUGGAAUCGGUUCUCUAUAUCCACAAUAUAGAAGAAUAGAAAAAUUGACUUAAUGACUUAGUGGGAUUUGGGAAUUAGGGAUUGUUGCCUAGUGUCUGCUCACUUAGUAUAUAUAUAACAUAAUACAGUGGGGUCAUGUUUCUUAGUAUACAUGUUCACUUUAGACCCU
Molecule: long non-coding RNA, 478 nt
Filed under: Panax ginseng (ginseng)
Lineage: Eukaryota; Viridiplantae; Streptophyta; Magnoliopsida; Apiales; Araliaceae
Description: long non-coding RNA (PGIN_LNC001060)
Source: RNAcentral